AAAAAGGGCUUCUGCCAUGUUUGGCACAGGGAGAGUGGGGGAAUACCACUCUUCUUGCGGAAUCGAUAUCAAGAGAUUUCGGAAGCAUAAUUUUUGAGAAACGGGGCUGCUGGUGAUCGUACAAGUCCUGGCGCCCCA
Small nuclear RNA from Hypomesus transpacificus, 138 nucleotides. RefSeq annotates it as U11 spliceosomal RNA. The record is from RefSeq and is a predicted model, not a curated record. The transcript has a single exon. Lineage: Eukaryota; Metazoa; Chordata; Actinopteri; Osmeriformes; Osmeridae.